Molecule: ribosomal RNA, 483 nt
Filed under: uncultured bacterium
Lineage: Bacteria
Description: bacterial SSU rRNA
Rfam family: Bacterial small subunit ribosomal RNA
Source: RNAcentral
GACGAACGCUGGCGGCGUGCCUAACACAUGCAAGUCGAACGGAGAUGUUGAUUUCGGUUGACGUCUUAGUGGCGAACGGUGAGUAACGCGUGAACAAUCUGACCUUAAGAGGGGGAUAACAACGAGAAAUCGUUGCUAAUACCGCAUAAGACCACAAUGCCGCAUGGCGAAGGGGUCAAAGGAGCAAUCCGCUUAAGGAGGGGUUCGCGUCCCAUUAGGUAGUAGGUGAGGUAACGGCCCACCUAGCCGACGAUGGGUAGCCGAGCUGAGAGGCUGAUCGGCCACACUGGAACUGAGACACGGUCCAGACUCCUACGGGAGGCAGCAGUGGGGAAUAUUGGGCAAUGGGCGCAAGCCUGACCCAGCAACGCCGCGUGAGGGAAGAAGGUUUUCGGAUUGUAAACCUCUGUCGCAGAUGACGAAACAAAUGACGGUAAUCUGUGAGGAAGCCCCGGCUAACUACGUGCCAGCAGCCGCGGUAAU